CAGUAGCCGCGGUAAUACGGAGGGUGCAAGCGUUAAUCGGAAUUACUGGGCGUAAAGCGCACGCAGGCGGUCUGUCAAGUCGGAUGUGAAAUCCCCGGGCUCAACCUGGGAACUGCAUUCGAAACUGGCAGGCUAGAGUCUUGUAGAGGGGGGUAGAAUUCCAGGUGUAGCGGUGAAAUGCGUAGAGAUCUGGAGGAAUACCGGUGGCGAAGGCGGCCCCCUGGACAAAGACUGACGCUCAGGUGCGAAAGCGUGGGGAGCAAACAGGAUUAGAUACCCCGGUAGUCCCUGUCUCUUAUAA
Molecule: ribosomal RNA, 301 nt
Filed under: uncultured bacterium
Lineage: Bacteria
Description: partial 16S ribosomal RNA
Rfam family: Bacterial small subunit ribosomal RNA
Source: RNAcentral